AGCCUGCCAGUCCCACCCCGAGCGCGGCUGAGGAAUCUGGCGCCGGCUCCUACAACAAUAGUGCCCGCCCACCUGACCCCCCCUCUCUGGGAGAGGGCGGGGCGGCGGCCACCCCGGGAGCCCGAGACCCGGCUGGGAGAGGGUAGCGGACGGGAGCUGGGUAGAAGGUGGGUGCCCCAGCACCUACAGGCCAGAGGGGCGGCGGGGAAGAAGGGGAGGAGAGACUGCGGACGGGCGGAUCUAGGCUGGGAGGAGGCGGGGCGAGAAGAGAUGCGGGGACAGAGACGCUCGGCAACCCAGGAAAUACUCCGCCGGGAAACAAAGGGCUGGAGCGGGGGAGGGGAGGGGCCGCGGAGAGCCGGAGGGAGACGAGACCAGAACCGAGAAAGGAGCGGGCGCAGGUUACGGGGAGGUAGGAGAGAGAGAGAGAGAGAGAAAGGAGAGAUACGGGCAGAAGGAGGAUGGGGGGAGACAGGAAAAUGGAGAGACUGGGGGAGACAGAAGAGGCGGGAUGGGGGCGGGCGGCAGAAGGGGGAAGGGCCCCAGGUGAGCGGGCGGCGUGUCUGAGCCCUGGUGAUCCCAGAGACUCCAAAAGCGAACCCCUCAUUGGUACUAGGGAGGAAUGGAUUUGGCGACCUCAAGCCAAUGCCGUGAAAGUAGCCCCCGCUCCACCUGGUGCUCGACCCUCUCAGUGCUGGGAGCCUGCAGUAAAGAGCCGCGUCGCCUAACCGGUGCAAAAGGGGAGGUUUUGGUUCCCGCCGCCUGUUGCGCAGGCAGAUUUCAUCCUAGUCUGGCCAGGGUCGGGGUUCCCUUCCUCACUUCCUUGCCAAGAACUGUGCCAGGCAUUGGCAAGGCAUCCAUGAGAACUGGGCUGUUUUAGGUGAGUCUAAAAGAGCAGGAAAGGAACCAGAGGGUGGAGGUAGGGGGAUUGUUGUGGCUGGGUCAGAAGGUAGGAUCCUGACCCCAAUGCAGUAGGAAAGGGGAAGGGCAAGUCUCCCCAGAGUCACUAGUUUAAGGUCAGAUUUCCUCAGCAAAAGGAUGGGGGCGGGGUGCCCGGGAUCCUGGUUGGAGGCACCUGUACCACUCACUUUGCACCUGUCCUCCUUCAGAAGAGCACUGAAAUUUGAGGUUAGAGACAGAGCAGCAGCCCUUAUUUUGAGCGAAUUUCCCAGAAUGUCCACCCACUUGAGCUCCCUCCUUUUUCCAUCUCCUUAGCGAAAGUUUUCCUUUGCAUUUUGAUUGCCUGCCUGCCCCCUACCCAACCUCCCACCUAGAGGGGGAUGUGAGAUGGACAGAGGAAGGCUUCUGAGUUCAGUCCUUCUCCAUUCCCAGUUUCUAACCCCCAGGAGGGUGAAUCGGGAAUCUGCUUGUCCUUUUACCUUCCUGGGCUACAGGAGAAUUAAAAAUCCAAAACUGACAGGGUUUAAUGAGCUCUAUUAGAGAAAGCACUAUUCAUGGGAGAGAAGGACCAGAGAUCUAUUGGAGAAAGCACUGUUCACGGGAGAGAAAGACCACCCAAACCAACUGGCUUCUCACUUAUAUCACUUGUUCAUGUUCCCUUAGCAAGAAAAAGAAAGAGAAGGGGCCUAAUCUUAAAACCGUCUUUAGUCUGCCUUUAGUCUGUUUAGUCCUGUAAGUGGUGCAGUUCAGCCCUGACAAGCCUCUUCCUCCUGCUGGAUUUGGCAAUUUUGUCAGAGCCUCUAUUGGCUAAGGGGACCAAUCACUACUGGGAAAGGCGGUUUGCUUUCACAGUUCCCUCUCCUGAGUCUAGCAUCAUUUGGGGGUUGGUUAUAUAUUGAAAGUUCCCAGACACAUUGUCUUCUCACUUUUGUGCCUUCUCCCAGCUCCUCAGUAUUCCUACCCUCUUUUACUCUCUGCCUCUUCAAUUCCUUCUCUUCUUCCAGAGGGACAGAAAGGAGGAUUGAGGUGUGAAAGAAUACAACUCUCAAGGUGCUCUCUCCAGGGAGAUAACUCUAAUGGAGAGGAUAGCUGCUGAGGCAUCUGCUUUUGUUUCCAUCCCUAAUUCUACUCUCCUGGCCUCUCCUUUUGGGACUCCCCACCACCAGCAGGUCCUGGGGUCUGUAGGUGACGGUGGACCUGCCAUCAGCCUCAUUUCUUCCUCACACACCUUGUUGUCUUCAUCCCCAUCUGGAACAGUGUCUGAGUCUGCUCCUGAAGCAUGAGUUGCCAUGCCAACCACCCCCAGGAGAUAGGUUCAGGUUCCUCAUACCUGGGUCCAUCCCCUGGGUCUUGCAGAGCCUCAGAGCCUCUUUCUCUUUCCCCUAUCUGAGUUGCUACUCAAUGCCCCCUGCCACUUCUCACCUCACCCACACCUGCCUACUCCGGUUCUCAGGACAACCUAGUGACUUCCUGUCCUGUAAACAAGACAUGUACUUGUCAGUGUCCAUGUGUCCCCUAAUCCCUUUUCUUUUCCAUGACUGAACAUAAGGUGAGAGAGCUGAGGAGAGGUGGGCAGGAGAGGAUUCCAGGAGAGGAUUCCUUCUGCCCUUCACUAAAUAGGAAAGAGCCGUUAGACUGGAAGCUAUUAGAUACUCUAGGCAAGGAAGCAGGACAUAGGAGGAAAGCCCAAAUAACCAGGUUUGGGAGUUGGAGUUCUUGGGACCCUCUAAAGUACAUUCUGGCUUAUCCUGUAAGUGCACUAGGAACCUGAGCAGAUCCUAGUCCCUGAGCACUGAAUGGGGGAAAACUGAGGCAAGAGCUAGGACCUCUGAGAAGUCUUCAUCCACAGCAAGUCUUUAAGAUCUGGACCAAGCCAAGAUCUGGACCCUAGCAUUCUAGCUGCUCGGCUGCCCCCAGGAACUGCGAUACCAUCGACAGACCCUUAGUAUGAAGACUCCAGACUGCACUCCAUUCCCACCUCCAUGGGGCUCCUUUUAGAUACUUGGCCCCUCUGGAACUCUAGACCGCUCCUACCUCCAUCCUGGUCUCCAGGGACAGCCACGCUUAGUCCCGCAGCGACUCGGCAGGGCCUGGGGCAGCAGGGAGUAGAGUCGCGGGAUCGCUCCCCUGGUUGGACUCUUCUUCAUACCAAAGACGGCGGCUGGGGUACGGGGAGGGUGCAGCAGAUCCCCUUUUGGAGACGACACACACCGAAGCUGAAUGACCCGGGUCCCCACCGGCUAGAACUCUUUCCUUUUAGGUCGACGGCGCCCACCGCCCCCGUAACCUCCCCCCUCAACCUUCCCAUCCCCUGGAGAUCUUGGAAGACUUCUCUCCCCAUCUGUUUAGCUGACCUUCCACUCGCCCUCAUUCCAAAGGGAGCUGAAUUGGGGGAGAAUAAAUUCUCUCUACCCCCAGCUCCUCCUCAGGCGGGGCUUACUUAACCUGGAAAGCACUUUGUGAGGGCACCUCUUCCUCUCCGUUUGUGGUCUAGUCCAGUUGGUCCAAGGAUUCUCCUACUACCUGCCUACCCCCAAGUUACUCAGCUUCAACUAUUCAGAGGAGAUAAAGAGGUUGUGUGCGUUU
Molecule: long non-coding RNA, 3486 nt
Organism: Pteropus alecto (black flying fox)
Lineage: Eukaryota; Metazoa; Chordata; Mammalia; Chiroptera; Pteropodidae
Exons: 3
Source: RefSeq, a predicted model, not a curated record